This is a long non-coding RNA of Rhipicephalus sanguineus (brown dog tick), 2368 nucleotides long. RefSeq lists it as uncharacterized. Lineage: Eukaryota; Metazoa; Arthropoda; Arachnida; Ixodida; Ixodidae. The transcript is spliced from 6 exons. The record is from RefSeq and is a predicted model, not a curated record.
UAGCUUGAUAGCCGUCCUCUCUCGAUUUCGUCAGGGACAUUUGCCUGUUCCGAAUGACGUUGCGACCUCGACCACUAUUUCGUGAUUAGGUACUUCGCGCGCGAUAAGGGUUGAAGUGUGGUUUUCUGUUAAGCGAAAUGUGGCUUCGAGGAAGCAAACGACAUGCGGCAUUGCCUCGUUAGCUCGAUAGCUUUGUUAGUGCUGCUGAACUUCUUCGGGCUGCAGGUCAGCGCUUCCUGCUGCAGCCAAUGUGAGUGGCCGUCAACCUUGUUGCACUUCAUGUGCGUGUGCGGGCAGUAUGUUUGCCCAUUACUGUGGUGCGCACCUCGCACACUUGGUUGAACGCGCCGCUCGCUUUGGUCGAGUUCUUGGAACACGGCCCGCGCACGCGUGCGAACCUCGUCACGGUGAGUAUACCAGUUAUUCCUACGUUCGUAUUUCUAAAGAGAAUUUGUUGAACGUUUCAGAUCCCCUGUACCUGUGGGCUGCAAUACAUCGACGUGUGACCACGGCAGUCAUCCGAGCACCAGCACGUGAAUCCAUCGUUGCGGCGAGUAUCAUCCCAACAUUGCAAAUGAGAUGACAGGGGUAUUCCAGACUGGCGAGGUUGCAGUUUUGGUGUCUAAUCAGAGCCCCCACUUUUGGUGGCCGGCUGUUGCAGCCAUAUCGGGUCUUCUCCUUGACGAAAUCGAAGAGGACGGGGUACGGGGGUGGGGGGCGCGCCGCAUACAGCUUCAGCCUUAGCGAACACGAUAGGCAGGAUAUGACAGGUGUCCUCUUCCGAUUUCGCCGGGGAUAUUGAACCCGUUCCGAAUGUCUUUUGUGAAGCGACCACUAUUUCGUGUCGAGUAGCCCGCGCGCGAUUGUGCGCUCGAGCGGAAUGUGGUUUCGCGGAAGCAAACUGCAUUCGGAACUGCCUCGCCAGCUUUUGAUUAACCGUACUGUAGAACGUGCUGUUCACCUUACAGCGCGGUUUCAUUCCAGUUAUUGCUGCUUUUCCUGGCCGCUGUGUUUCUCAUGAUCCCGCUUAUUCACGGUGCUAUGCUUACCAUGCAGCUUUGAGGUUUACUUUCAGCCUUUUCUGCAAGUCCCGCCGACCUUCCAGGAGGAGUCCACGGAGCACCGCACAUUAUUUUGGACAUGGUGUGUAAGCGCGUAUUUUACAUGUCCAUUUUUUUUUAAGAAGCGGCUUUUGCACCUAUUCGUAUACACCAGGGCCGGCGGAUGUCCCGUUCCUGAACGAGCUAUGCAUCGAAGGUUGUCCAGCCCGAGUCUACGGUGGAGAUGGCGUUGAACACCACCCGUCCUGUCGCAGUGUCGGCAGCACUUCCACAUUCAACCGCCGAUACUCCUGUCAGCAGGAGGGACUUCAGUAAGCGCCGUAUGCUUUUCCGCGUCUGUCUUCCACUGCUAUCCGUGAGAAGGGGAUGAAGCUGGCUCUUGCAGAUUGGUUCCAAUGUAUACGUUCUUGAGGUCUCCUGAGCAACACAAGUCACAUGACCAAACUUACUGCCACCUUCGCACUGCUUCGCUGAUGGCGUCAUCGAGGGAGGCUGCACAUUGCUGCUACUCGUGGAAUUCUGUUGCCUCACCGCGCCUGUUUUCCUUUGAUACCCGUGACAAGGAGAUUGAGCUGGCACCUGCAGAUUGGUUCCAAUGUAUACAUUCUUGAGGUCUCCUGAGCAACACAAGUCACAUGACCAAACUUACUGCCACCUUCGCACUGCUUCGCUGAUGGCGUCAUCGAGGGAGGCUGCACAUUGCUGCUACUCGUGGAAUUCUGUUGCCUCACCGCGCCCGUCUUCCUUUGCUACCCGUGACAAGGAGGUGGAGCGGGCUCCUGCAGAUUGGGUCCAAUGUAUACGUUCUUGAGGUCUCCUGGGCAACGCACAUCACAUGACCGAACUUACUGCCACCUUCGCACUGCUUCGCUGAUGGCGUCAUCGAGGGAGACUGCACAUUGUUUCUACUCGUGGAAUUCUGUUGCCUCACCGCGCCCGUCUUCCUUUGCUACCCGUGACAAGGAGGUGGAGCGGGCUCCUGCAGAUUGGGUCCAAUGUAUAUGUUCCUGAGGUCUACUGGGCCACACACAUCACAUGACCGAGCUUACUGCCACCUUCGCACUGCUUCGCUGAUGGCGUCAUCGAGGGAGACUGCACAUUGCUGUACUCGUGGAAUUGCUGUUGAUUCCCAGAGUCCAUCGCUACCCGUGAGAAAGACAUGAAGUUGGGUCCAGCAGAGUGAUUCUAAUGCCAACGUUCCCGAGUUCUCGGGGCACUACUCGUCGUAUUGCCGAACUUAUUGCCACCUUUGCACUGCUUCACUGACGGCUACAUCCAGGGAGACGGGACGUGGCCACUAACUUUGC